This 496-nucleotide ribosomal RNA is filed under the name uncultured bacterium. RNAcentral's name for it is "partial 16S ribosomal RNA". It matches the Rfam family "Bacterial small subunit ribosomal RNA", at positions 28 to 506 of the family's 1533-position model. The record is from RNAcentral.
GAUGAACGCUGGCGGCGUGCCUAAUACAUGCAAGUCGAGCGAACAGACGAGGAGCUUGCUCCUCUGACGUUAGCGGCGGACGGGUGAGUAACACGUGGAUAACCUACCUAUAAGACUGGGAUAACUUCGGGAAACCGGAGCUAAUACCGGAUAAUAUAUUGAACCGCAUGGUUCAAUAGUGAAAGACGGUUUUGCUGUCACUUAUAGAUGGAUCCGCGCCGCAUUAGCUAGUUGGUAAGGUAACGGCUUACCAAGGCAACGAUGCGUAGCCGACCUGAGAGGGUGAUCGGCCACACUGGAACUGAGACACGGUCCAGACGCCUACGGGAGGCAGCAGUAGGGAAUCUUCCGCAAUGGGCGAAAGCUUGACGGAGCAACGCCGCGUGAGUGAUGAAGGUCUUCGGAUCGUAAAACUCUGUUAUUAGGGAAGAACAAAUGUGUAAGUAACUAUGCACGUCUUGACGGUACCUAAUCAGAAAGCCACGGCUAACUACGU